UACGUAGGGGGCAAGCGUUGUCCGGAUUUAUUGGGCGUAAAGAGCGUGUAGGCGGCCAAGCAGGUCAGCUGUGAAAACUCGAGGCUCAACCUCGAGACGUCGGUUGAAACCGCUUGGCUAGAGUCCGGAAGAGGAGAGUGGAAUUCCCGGUGUAGCGGUGAAAUGCGCAGAUAUUAGGAAGAACACCGGUGGCGAAGGCGGCCCACUGGAUCGGUACUGACGCUGAGGUGCGAAAGCGUGGGGAGCAAACAGG
This 253-nucleotide ribosomal RNA is filed under the name uncultured bacterium. Its description in RNAcentral is "partial 16S ribosomal RNA". It matches the Rfam family "Bacterial small subunit ribosomal RNA", at positions 524 to 776 of the family's 1533-position model. The record is from RNAcentral.